Panthera uncia (snow leopard) is the source of this 371-nucleotide long non-coding RNA. RefSeq lists it as uncharacterized. The transcript is spliced from 2 exons. The record is from RefSeq and is a predicted model, not a curated record. Lineage: Eukaryota; Metazoa; Chordata; Mammalia; Carnivora; Felidae.
CUCUAGGAUAUGGAUCAACUUGUUCUUUGGAGGACAAGUCACACAGCCAAUGACUCAGCUCCCCUUGCCCCAAAGCUUAUGUGACAACAGACAGACAAUGCACCGGGCAGAUGGCUCGCUAAAGAACUGUUCUGACAGCUGCUAAUGUAAGACUGAACUAAGUUUCCAGAAGGAGCUGCAAAGACGUGAAUGGUUCCAACCAUCUUAAAGCAGUUCAGCAAAAGCUGCAACCUGAGAUAAGACCACAGUCACAUACCCGACUCUCCCUUACCCCCAUUCUAUGAAAACUCCAAUGUGGUUCCUGCUCAGGGAGUUGUUCUGUGAGGUCCUCUCCAAUGCACAUUAGCUAAAUAACAGCCUUCACCCUCUGA